UCGAAGCCUCGAAUUCUCCGCCAUCAGC
This 28-nucleotide small RNA is filed under the name Bombyx mori (domestic silkworm). RNAcentral's name for it is "ovarian small RNA-28192". Lineage: Eukaryota; Metazoa; Arthropoda; Insecta; Lepidoptera; Bombycidae. The record is from RNAcentral.